CAGGCGACCCCCUGUCCUUCCCCAACAGCAGUGCCAGGCCUGCCCCGGGAGGUCAGGGCUCCCCAAAUCUGCGUCAGGAGAGGCGGCCACCAGCUCCUUGGAAGGGAUGGAGUCAAGAGUCUCCAGGGCAGGACCAGCAGGGGACUGCUGAUUAGUUCUGGGGGGCUCUAAUGUGGACCCCUGGUUAUAAGACUCGGAUGAUACACAGGAUUUGUAUCCUGCUGUCUUUUUAAUUCCCUGAAGAAAACAUUAAAAUGUUAAAUAAAAGCGGUGGACAAAGAAGGGAACUAUCACAAAGGGAUUCCUGCAGGAGGGGAAAGGUGCCAGCUGAUACCAACAAUGUUCUUCGAUGCUGUGGAAACUUCUAGAACCCAGACCAAAAAAAGGAAAAAGAGGCCAGGUACAGUGGCUCAUGCCUGUAAUCCCAGCACUCUGGGAGGCCGAGACAGGCAGAUCACUUGAGGUCAGGAGUUCGAGACCAGCCUGGCCAACAUGGCGAAACCCUGUCUCUACUAAAAAUACAAAAAUUAGGCGUGGUGGCAGGCACCUGUAGUCCCAGCUACUCAGGAGGUUGAGGCAGGAGAAUCGCUUGAAUCCAGGACGCGGAGGUUGCAGUGAGCUGAUAUCAGACCACUGCACUCUAGCCUGGGUGACACAAUGAGACUCUGUCUCAAAAAAACAAAACAAAAAAAACAAAGAGAAAAAGAAAAAGAGGAGAGGAAGAGUGUGGGCCCCUGGGAGAGGUGGCCCUCUGAUCUGUCUGUGCUGCUGUCAUGACACCUCACGCAGGACAGUCUUAUCCCAGAGACUGUUCCCUUCCGCCCCCUCAGGCUUUGUACCCAUCCAGACAUCUGCCCCGGCUCCUCCCUUGCAGAACCUGGCAGAGUGAGUGUGGCACGGAUGGGAGUCCCCAACCCCCACACAAGGAUGCGGUUCCUCUGCAGGCUGUGGACCAGCAUCCGGCUGAACCCUGGACUCGAGUUAUGCAUGUUUCUGUCUCAGCCUGCGAGCGCUGCCCAGCGCUCUGCUGCUGGACCUGACACGGCCACUGGGCCAGGCUGAGGCUGUGUGCACCCCCAGGGCUGCCGAGCCACUCACUGACCCUCUGUCCACACUGCUCACCAACACCUGCCCUGGAAGCCUGCUUCUCCUUGCUAAAGACCAGUGUGAGGGCUCUGAAGGAAGAACAUUACUAACCCCACCAAGCUCACUUUGUCAUUUCUAUAAACCCUGUCCAUGUGCACAGGGGUUCUGCUUUCCACUAUCAACAUUUCCUCCCCAGCAGUCAGUUACUAUUUGUAGCAGAUGCAUAAUGUUCCAUCCUCCUGAGGUAUCACAGCUCAUUUACUAAGUAUCACCCCGCUGUAGGACAGGUUGUUUCCAGUUCUUUGCUAGUUAGUAACUGCAUCGGUAUGAAACAUUUUUUGUGCAUACAAAAAUCAGCCUGCUGUGGUGGCGCACACCUGUAGUCCCAGCUACUUGGGAGGCUGAGGUGGGAGGAUGGCUUGAGCCCAGGACGCAGAGGCUUGCAGUGAGCCGAGAUCGUGCCACUGCACUCCAGCCUCUGCAACAAAGCAAGACUGUCUCAAAAAGAAAAAAAGCAGCUGACACUUUUUAGAUAUUCACUACAGGCCAAGUACUAGUUUAAGUGCAUUCUGUGUUUUCACUUUUUCUUUUUUUUUUUAAGAGACAGGGUCUUGCUCUGUUGCCCAGGUAGUACAGUUGCGACCACAACUCAGUGCAGCCUCAAACUCCUGGGCUCAAACAAUCCUUGUGUCAGCCGCCCGAAUGAAUAGCUGGGAUUACAGAUGCACGCCACCAUAUUUGGCCAAUUUUUUUUUUUGAAACGGAGUUUUGCUCUUAUUGCCCAGGCUGGAACGCAAUGGUGCGGUCUUGGCUCACUACAACUUCUGCUUCCUGGGUUCAAGCAAUUGUCC
This 1937-nucleotide long non-coding RNA is filed under the name Homo sapiens (human). Its description in RNAcentral is "HSALNT0118378". The record is from RNAcentral. Lineage: Eukaryota; Metazoa; Chordata; Mammalia; Primates; Hominidae.